ACAGUUGUUCACUUAAAAGACCCCACUGAGUUGACUGGAACUCUUAGACCUAAUAAACACAGUAAAAUUGCAGAUACAAAAUCAAUUAAAAAAUAGUAGCCUUUAUUUAUGUGAACAGUGCACCCUCAGAGAAAUAAAUUAGGAGAAAUAUUCCAUUCAGAAUAACUGUAAAAAGAAAGUAUUUAGGAAUAUAUCUAAUCAAAGAAGAGAAAGAUGCUUACAAUGAAAAUUUUGAGAUAUUGAAAAGGAAAGCAGUGAAGAUACAAGGUGGGAGAAAGACAGUCCAUAGUCUUAGAUUGGGAGAACUAAUUUGUGAAAAUGUCCAAACCGCCAAACUUGACUUAAUAAACUUAGUGCAGGACCUCUCAAAAUUCCAAUGUCAUGUUCAGCAGUUUUAGAAGAGACAAAUGGAGAAUUUAUAGACUCACAGAAGACCAUGAAUAGCCACAGCGGUUGUAGGGAGUGAGGGCACUGCUGGAGGUUGGACAGUGCCUCAAAUUGUGCUAGAGCCACAGUGAUAAAGGCAGCCUGGUGUGCUGUAAAAGUGAGCAGUAGAGCAGAACAGAGGACUCAGAAACCAAACAGCAAGCUAUUUUAUUUUUGACAAAGGUGGCAAAAACAUGCUUCAGAAGAAAAGACAGCCUGUUAAUGAGUGGUACUGGGAAAACUAGAUAUCCACCUGCAAGAUGAAAUUAGAUUCUUAUCUUUUAUCUUAUACAAA
RNAcentral lists this long non-coding RNA (721 nucleotides) under Rattus norvegicus (Norway rat). Its description in RNAcentral is "long non-coding RNA NONRATT027108". Lineage: Eukaryota; Metazoa; Chordata; Mammalia; Rodentia; Muridae. The record is from RNAcentral.